AUGCUCACUUCGGCAGCAUAUAUACUAAAAACUGGAACAAUACAGAGAAGAUUAGCAUGGCCCCUGGGCAAAGAUGACAUGCAAAUUCGUGAAGCAUUCCAUAUUUUU
RNAcentral lists this small nuclear RNA (108 nucleotides) under Cebus imitator (Panamanian white-faced capuchin). The record is from RNAcentral. Lineage: Eukaryota; Metazoa; Chordata; Mammalia; Primates; Cebidae.